GAUGAAGAACGCAGCGAAAUGCGAUAAGUAAUGUGAAUUGCAGAAUUCAGUGAAUCAUCGAAUCUUUGAACACACCUUGCACCCUUUGGCAUUCCGAAGGGUAUGCUCGUUUGAGUGUCAUUGUACUCUCACACUUCUGAUCCUUUGGAUUGGGAGCGGUGGACUUGGGUGUUGCUGCUUUACUGUGGCUCACCUCAAAUGCAUUAGUGCAACUCUUGGUUGGACAUAGUACGGCGUGAUAAGUAUCUUCGCCGGCACCUCGCAAGAGGGUGGCUGAUCAGGAGCUCUGUGCUUUCCAACUGUCUUCAGACAACAACUGACAACUUGACCUCAAAUCGAGUAGGACCACCCGCUGAACUUAAGCAUAUCAAUAAGCGGAGGA
RNAcentral lists this unclassified non-coding RNA (382 nucleotides) under soil metagenome. Its description in RNAcentral is "partial contains 5.8S ribosomal RNA, internal transcribed spacer 2, and large subunit ribosomal RNA". The stretch from base 1 to 120 matches the Rfam family "5.8S ribosomal RNA", at positions 35 to 154 of the family's 154-position model. The record is from RNAcentral.